Molecule: ribosomal RNA, 346 nt
Filed under: Lycosidae gen.4 sp. NM-2005
Lineage: Eukaryota; Metazoa; Arthropoda; Arachnida; Araneae; Lycosidae
Description: partial 28S ribosomal RNA
Source: RNAcentral
AGGAUUCAGUCUGUAGUUGCCAUCGGGCUGGUCGGGGGCUUCCCCGGGGCCGUCCGAUCGCCAAGGACAGACGCAUUUGACUCCCUCUCCGAGGACGCCGCAGCCCGCGGGGAAGUGCAAACGUGACGGCCUUGAAGGCGGGAGAUGGCAGGUGGCCGGUGGCGAGCCUCGUGCUCUUCGCCGGUUGUUAGCCGUCCCGUCGGUGGCUCGUCUCCCCGCGGAGGUAUCAUGUCGUCCUGCGGGGCGACUGCAUCUCCUCCUCGUCCGGACGUGCAGUGGCGAGAGAAGGCAACCGCGCGGCCGCACUCUUCCGGAGUGGGCCAGCGGCCGGCGGCCGCUGAGGACC